GCAGUAUUGAACCUGUUGCUGCAUUAGCCGAGUUGUAUUUUGCUAGAUAGGGGAAGGAGGGUUGUCUGCUGUCUGGUAGGAGGGCUUUGUCUGUGUGCGCCUUUCUCUCUCUCCCUCUCUCGCUCUCCCUGUCUCUCGCACUCUCGCUCGCUCUCGCUCGCUCUCUCUCGCUCGCUCUCCCUUUCCCGUCUCUGUGGUUUGUAAGCUGCAUAAGAAAGAAGUGUUGAGAGCUGCUCUUAACCCUUUUGGAGGCCUAAGUCAAAAGGGAACUAGAGGGCUUGACGCAUCCUUUACAUCCGGCAUUUACUCUGACCACAGUCCCUCCCUGUUCUCACAAGCGGAGCUCAGCCCUGCUUCCCUUCCUGUUGAUUCCCAGUCAGCUACAUGA
This 388-nucleotide long non-coding RNA is filed under the name Serinus canaria (Common canary). RNAcentral's name for it is "lncRNA (ENSSCAG00000009408.1)". Lineage: Eukaryota; Metazoa; Chordata; Aves; Passeriformes; Fringillidae. The record is from RNAcentral.